ACGGGUGCGUAACGCGUGGGAAUCUGCCCUUGGGUUCGGAAUAACGUCGGGAAACUGACGCUAAUACCGGAUGAUGACGUAAGUCCAAAGAUUUAUCGCCCAGGGAUGAGCCCGCGUAGGAUUAGCUAGUUGGUGAGGUAAAGGCUCACCAAGGCGACGAUCCUUAGCUGGUCUGAGAGGAUGAUCAGCCACACUGGGACUGAGACACGGCCCAGACUCCUACGGGAGGCAGCAGUAGGGAAUAUUGGACAAUGGGGGCAACCCUGAUCCAGCAAUGCCGCGUGAGUGAUGAAGGCCUUAGGGUUGUAAAGCUCUUUUACCCGGGAUGAUAAUGACAGUACCGGGAGAAUAAGCCCCGGCUAACUCCGUGCCAGCAGCCGCGGUAAUACGGAGGGGGCUAGCGUUGUUCGGAAUUACUGGGCGUAAAGCGCACGUAGGCGGCGAUUUAAGUCAGAGGUGAAAGCCCGGGGCUCAACCCCGGAACUGCCUUUGAGACUGGAUUGCUUGAACAUCGGAGAGGUGAGUGGAAUUCCGAGUGUAGAGGUGAAAUUCGUAGA
RNAcentral lists this ribosomal RNA (557 nucleotides) under Sphingobium sp. RDB-083. RNAcentral describes it as "bacterial SSU rRNA". It matches the Rfam family "Bacterial small subunit ribosomal RNA", at positions 102 to 694 of the family's 1533-position model. Lineage: Bacteria; Pseudomonadati; Pseudomonadota; Alphaproteobacteria; Sphingomonadales; Sphingobiaceae. The record is from RNAcentral. RNAcentral also lists the same sequence under 3 other names.